UACGAAGGGUGCAAGCGUUACUCGGAAUUACUGGGCGUAAAGCGUGCGUAGGUGGUUUGUUAAGUCUGCUGUGAAAGCCCCGGGCUCAACCUGGGAAUGGCAGUGGAUACUGGCAAGCUAGAGUGCGGUAGAGGAGAGUGGAAUUCCCGGUGUAGCAGUGAAAUGCGUAGAGAUCGGGAGGAACAUCAGUUGCGAAGGCGGCUCUCUGGACCAGCACUGACACUGAGGCACGAAAGCGUGGGGAGCAAACAGGG
RNAcentral lists this ribosomal RNA (254 nucleotides) under uncultured bacterium. RNAcentral's name for it is "partial 16S ribosomal RNA". It matches the Rfam family "Bacterial small subunit ribosomal RNA", at positions 524 to 777 of the family's 1533-position model. The record is from RNAcentral.